RNAcentral lists this ribosomal RNA (253 nucleotides) under uncultured bacterium. Its description in RNAcentral is "partial 16S ribosomal RNA". It matches the Rfam family "Bacterial small subunit ribosomal RNA", at positions 524 to 776 of the family's 1533-position model. The record is from RNAcentral.
UACGUAGGGUGCGAGCGUUAAUCGGAAUUACUGGGCGUAAAGCGUGCGCAGGCGGUUUUGUAAGCCAGAUGUGAAAUCCCCGGGCUUAACCUGGGAAUGGCAUUGGAAACUGGCGGGCUGGAGUGCGGCAGAGGGGGGUGGAAUUCCACGUGUAGCAGUGAAAUGCGUAGAUAUGCGGAGGAACACCGAUGGCGAAGGCAAUCCCCUGGGCCUGCACUGACGCUCAUGCACGAAAGCGUGGGGAGCAAACAGG